AGGAUGAACGCUAGCGACAGGCUUAACACAUGCAAGUCGAGGGGCAGCGGGGGUGAUGGCUUGCCAUCACCUGCCGGCGACCGGCGCACGGGUGAGUAACACGUAUGCAACCUGCCCGCCACAGGGGGAUAAGCGGAAGAAAUUCCGUCUAAUACCGCGUGACGCGGCGUCGGGGCAUCCCGGUGCCGCCAAAGGGAUUACCGGUGGCGGAUGGGCAUGCGGCGCAUUAGCUAGUCGGCGGGGUAACGGCCCACCGAGGCGACGAUGCGUAGGGGUUCUGAGAGGAAGGUCCCCCACACUGGUACUGAGACACGGACCAGACUCCUACGGGAGGCAGCAGUGAGGAAUAUUGGUCAAUGGGCGGGAGCCUGAACCAGCCAAGUCGCGUGAGGGAUGACGGUCCUACGGAUUGUAAACCUCUUUUGCUGGGGAGCAAGCGUGCGUUCGUGAACGCGCGUCGAGAGUACCCGGAGAAAAAGCAUCGGCUAACUCCGUGCCAGCAGCCGCGGUAAUACGGAGGAUGCGAGCGUUAUCCGGAUUUAUUGGGUUUAAAGGGUGCGUAGGCGGGAUGCCAAGUCAGCGGUAAAAAUGCGGUGCUCAACGCCGUCGAGCCGUUGAAACUGGCGUUCUUGAGUGGGCGAGAAGUAUGCGGAAUGCGUGGUGUAGCGGUGAAAUGCAUAGAUAUCACGCAGAACUCCGAUUGCGAAGGCAGCAUACCGGCGCCCUACUGACGCUGAGGCACGAAAGCGUGGGUAUCGAACAGGAUUAGAUACCCUGGUAGUCCACGCAGUAAACGAUGAAUGCUAACUGUCCGGUGCGAGUGAGCGCUGGGCGGUACAGCGAAAGCGUUAAGCAUUCCACCUGGGGAGUACGCCGGCAACGGUGAAACUCAAAGGAAUUGACGGGGGCCCGCACAAGCGGAGGAACAUGUGGUUUAAUUUGAUGAUACGCGAGGAACCUUACCCGGGCUCAAACGCAGGCUGACGGGUCCCGAAAGGGGCCUUUCUUCGGACAUUCUGCGAGGUGCUGCAUGGUUGUCGUCAGCUCGUGCCGUGAGGUGUCGGCUUAAGUGCCAUAACGAGCGCAACCCCUGUCCACAGUUGCCAGCAGGUAAAGCUGGGGACUCUGUGGAGACUGCCGGCGCAAGCUGCGAGGAAGGCGGGGAUGACGUCAAAUCAGCACGGCCCUUACGUCCGGGGCGACACACGUGUUACAAUGGCAGGUACAGCGGGAUGCCACGGGGCGACCCGGCGCUGAACCCGAAAACCUGUCUCAGUUCGGAUUGGAGUCUGCAACCCGACUCCAUGAAGCUGGAUUCGCUAGUAAUCGCGCAUCAGCCACGGCGCGGUGAAUACGAUCCCGGGCCUUGUACACACCGCCCGUCA
Molecule: ribosomal RNA, 1385 nt
Filed under: uncultured bacterium
Lineage: Bacteria
Description: 16S ribosomal RNA
Rfam family: Bacterial small subunit ribosomal RNA
Source: RNAcentral